This 715-nucleotide long non-coding RNA is filed under the name Homo sapiens (human). RNAcentral's name for it is "HSALNT0168361". Lineage: Eukaryota; Metazoa; Chordata; Mammalia; Primates; Hominidae. The record is from RNAcentral.
CAAAAUCGUAUAUGGUGUCAGGAACAUAGCAGGUAUUCUGCAAGAGAGGGCACCAUUGACUAGACAAGUGUCCACAGUGCUAGACGGAGGCGCACCUGGGAACAGUUUCCUGCUGGUCCACAAUUGGAUAAGUACAGAAAUUAAGAGCAUGGGAUUUUUGAAAUAUUUUUUAGCAAUUAGACGUUGUAACAUCCAAGCAUGUGAUCACUGGACUCAUCUCAUUGAAAAGGGUGAAGGCCAGGUUGGGUGUUACCAAAUACAAGUGGUACUGCUACAUACUAGCCACAUGCAAUAGGACCAUACAUGGGUCUUUGAUGCAUUGGAAAUGUAAAAAGCAAAUCAAAAUGGGACUGGCCCUUCACUGUAGAUGGUUUGAGGAGCACUGGACUAGGUCCCUAAAAGCUGGAAAGAAUCAAAGGCAGAGUGGCCUAUGUGAGAAUGGGCACAUUUAUCUUCCUGUUGGAGUAUUAAUUACAAUAGUGACAAUACCAGUAGCCACCACUCAGUGGGCCAGAGCUGAUGCCAGACAUGAAGCUCAGUCCUUAUCUGGUUGAAUCCUCGCAACCUCCUAUGGGGUGUAGAUCAUUCUCCAAUUUUAUCAGAUGGGGAAACUGAGGCUCAUGGAGAAACUCAGUAACAGGCCCAUGACCACACAGAUAGGUCUAUUUGAAUCCAAAGCCUGUGCCUCUAACCCACUCUUGAGCCUCCUGCUGAG